Molecule: long non-coding RNA, 771 nt
Organism: Drosophila miranda
Lineage: Eukaryota; Metazoa; Arthropoda; Insecta; Diptera; Drosophilidae
Exons: 3
Source: RefSeq, a predicted model, not a curated record
ACAGGUUUUUGUGUGUACCAAAAAUGCAAUUAUUUUGCUAUGGCAACCUUCGUCUGGGGCAACAACCGGAUAAAAACUAUAAUACAAACUAAUAAUAUAUAAUAAUAUUACAAACAGUAAAAUUUUUCCAAAUAGAGUAUACCCAAGGAAAACAUAAAAAUCGUACGAGCCGUUUAGGAGCAGCCUGCAAUGGGUUAAUGUGUUUGGUAUUUCUCAUUCCUAAGAAUAGAAUUCGAAAAUACCGCUAUGCAUUUAUCGAACAACUAACGUCACCUCCAUUGUUUACGCGUCGCCAUAGCAGCCAACAAAAAAAUUGCGUAUGUCGUCUGAAAGCACUUAUCUAUUCAUAUUUACCUUUAAGGGCAUUCUCUUGAGAUGACGCGACUGUGCCUGUGCCUAGUAUACCCAAGGAAAACAUAAAAAUCGUACGAGCCGUUUAGGAGCAGCCUGCAAUGGGUUAAUGUGUUUGGUAUUUCUGAUUCCUAAGAAUAGAAUUCCAAAAUACCGCUAUGCAUUUAUCGAACAACUAACGUCACCUCCAUUGUUUACGCGUCGCCAUAGCAGCCAACAAAAAAAUUGCGUCUGUCGUCUGAAAGCACUUAUCUAUUCAUAUUUACCUUUAAGGGCAUUCUCUUGAGAUGACGCGACUGUGCCUGUGCCUAGUAUACCCAAGGAAAACAUAAAAAUCGUACGAGCCGUUUAGGAGCAGCCUGCAAUGGGUUAAUGUGUUUGGUAUUUCUGAUUCCUAAGAAUAGAAUUCCAAAAUACCGC